GCACCCAGCAUCCCCUGCUCUGAGCACUGACACGCCAGGAGGGCUUCCCUGCGCGAAUGGAAGAUCAAGGGAUUCCACCUUAAAUAAAAUAUCAGUCUGUUCUGGCGAGUUUGGGGACCAGGGAAACUGACGCAAACGUGCUGAUACUCAUGUCGCUCGCUGUAUGUUGAGUGAUGAAGCCCUUUAUCUCUGGCCCAAGCGUUUCAUCUCUUCUGCCAGCAUCCAUGGAACAGUAUCAUUCCAUUUUUGGCCCUGUACCCCAAAUGGUGGAUAAUCAGGAGCUGGCAGCAUCCCGAUACCUACAUCUGCUCCUCACUCCCUUCCCCUCCUGAUAACGGCAUUUUGGAGAAUCCAGAGGCAGAAGCUGCAAGCUGGGGCUGACAUAUUAAAAAAUGUCACCAACAAUGAGGACUUCAUGUUCCAGGCAGUGGCUCUGCCUUUUGAAGAAGGAGGUUAAGUUCUGUGAAGAGAGAAGACAUGGAAUAUCACACCCCAUUCCAGCCACAGUAGUGAAGGAACCCCAUAACCAACCUUCCCAGCACUCUUAGAUAAUGGAGUGAAGGAAAGGAACCCAGGAAAAGGGUUAGAAGUGGGGGAAAAAAAACAUUCAGGAGAAACAAAUUGUUGUAGAGCAGAAAGAAACUGUUGAUUUUACUUGGAGAGAGUUAAGUGAAAUAAGUCUAUAUAAGAUCCAAAAUAGUGUCUCCUUGCAUUUCUAAAUACACUUAGGGGCAAGCACACUUCGUAGUACCCAACACAGCACUAUGACUUGUUGAAAGAGAAAACAAAGCUUUGUGCUUCCACCUAACACGAAGCAAUUAUGCUUUGCACAAAAGAAUAUCCUCUUAUCUUAUCCAUUGUUGGAAAGAUAUAACUUAGAAAAAGACAAAGAAAUACUACUACUCAUAGUAAUCAACCUACCAUUGGUAAACAUUAAUAACAAAUAGCAAUAAUGAAAUAUUCAAGCAAUCCUCAGAGUUGCACUGAGUUCCAAAGUAUAUAAACUGGCAUGGAUGCAUCAACAGGGGCUAGCUCAGCAGCAUUACCUAAAUGCUAUGUUGCUGUAUCAGGUGUUGCCCUUGUUGGCACAGUUUACUGGGCCUUACAAGGGUUUUGCUGCCAGGAAAAACAGUGGGCAAGGGGGGACUGGGCCCCCAGUUUGUUCUGACACUCCAAUGAAACUUUCAAGUUACAACAUUUUCAAAUAUUUUUUUUCCUUGUAGCAACAUUUUGGAGGAUCUUAGCAAGACUUUGUGGGUAAAAUGUCCUUAAAACAAGUUGAACACCUGAUAAUAUGAUAAGAGCUUUCUUCCACGAACAGGUGUGCUUGUGAAUGGAUAAAAUACCACUUCCCACUGCCAACGCUGGACACACAGGGCUCACUUAACCUUGCUUAAAUAAUUGCUUGUGAUAAGCCUCGGGUGUGGAGACCCGGUGCAUACAGAGCGGCGAGGGAAGCUUCAGUCUGUCGUCUGGGGAAGGGAAUCGAUGGAUUAACAUAUUGAAAUGAUCUCAAUUAAUGCCCUUUAAUGGUUGUCUUCAAAAAAGGAGGACCUCUCCAAAAUGAAUGGCUGACUCCUUACCAACAGGACAAAAAAAAACCUAUUAGGAAGAUAAUGCGUUUACCUGCUUGAGGAAAGAGGAUCUCUUCUGAGUGGAUUUCUUAAGAAACAAAAAUACAUGUGUACACUGUUUUUUCCACUGAGUCUGAUAUUGCAAUGUUACUCGUGUAUCUCGCUUCAUAACAUCCACACCUGUGCCCCCUGUUGCUUAUCGCCAAGACCCUAAACUGGACAACACUACGGCUUUGGUGUCAAAAGCCCUAAAGUGGAACUUCAAUAAAUGAGACCUCUUUGUUUAAAUGAUCACUUUAGCACGCAAUUGUGAUCAUUUCAAUGGAACGUGAGCCGUGACCUUCAGGCUCUUGUGUGCCUGCUGUACAGCCCCUUCUCUUCUCUGUCCCCCAUUGUCACUCUCCCCACCACCCUCUCUAUUCUGGCCUGAAUGCCCCCAGAAACUUAAGCAGAAGCAAACCUGGACGUGGUGGCUGCUUCUGCGGAGUGGUAACGUCUUGGGGAAUAUUCAAGGAUUUUUGUUGGAUAACAAUGAAAACAGCCACUGGUGCUGGGUUUUUGCUAACAACAAGUCUCUGAAGUGGUAUUGCUACCAUCCUUUCUUCAGAUGAGAAAAUUAGGUUUGGAGAGUAAAUAAGGGCCCAGGGUCACACUCCUAUUGCCGCUGCUGAAACCAAGAAAGAGGGUGGAGAGGGGCCGUUGUUAGCAGCAUUUUUCCUUCCCUAACAUCCCUGCCUACUGAGAAAAAAAUAAGAAAUUAAAUGCCUUCCCCUUUCCUGCCCUGUUUGAUGACUUGAAAGGUAGAAGAGAACAUUUCUAUUUGCUAUUUUGUUGUACUCCUUCUGAUGAUAAUUACUGACCUCAGCGAGGGA
This is a non-coding RNA of Microcebus murinus (gray mouse lemur), 2446 nucleotides long. NCBI's taxonomy places the organism in Eukaryota, Metazoa, Chordata, Mammalia, Primates, Cheirogaleidae. The record is from RefSeq and is a predicted model, not a curated record.